Molecule: ribosomal RNA, 482 nt
Filed under: uncultured bacterium
Lineage: Bacteria
Description: partial 16S ribosomal RNA
Rfam family: Bacterial small subunit ribosomal RNA
Source: RNAcentral
AUUGAACGCUGGCGGCAUGCCUUACACAUGCAAGUCGAACGGUAACAGGUCUUCGGAUGCUGACGAGUGGCGAACGGGUGAGUAAUACAUCGGAACGUGCCCAGACGUGGGGGAUAACGAGGCGAAAGCUUUGCUAAUACCGCAUACGAUCUAAGGAUGAAAGCAGGGGACCGCAAGGCCUUGUGCGUUUGGAGCGGCCGAUGGCAGAUUAGGUAGUUGGUGGGAUAAAAGCUUACCAAGCCGACGAUCUGUAGCUGGUCUGAGAGGACGACCAGCCACACUGGGACUGAGACACGGCCCAGACUCCUACGGGAGGCAGCAGUGGGGAAUUUUGGACAAUGGGCGAAAGCCUGAUCCAGCAAUGCCGCGUGCAGGAUGAAGGCCUUAGGGUUGUAAACUGCUUUUGUACGGAACGAAAAGGCUCUGGCUAAUACCUGGGGCACAUGACGGUACCGUAAGAAUAAGCACCGGCUAACUACGUG